Molecule: non-coding RNA, 285 nt
Organism: Neolamprologus brichardi
Lineage: Eukaryota; Metazoa; Chordata; Actinopteri; Cichliformes; Cichlidae
Source: RefSeq, a predicted model, not a curated record
GAGACUAAAGCUGCCCACUCUUUCUGUUUCUCUCUGACAGUUUUCCAACUCUCUGAGUCUCAUCUGUCUUUCUCUGACUUGACUCAGCUGGUGCUCUUCUACUCUCUGACCAGGGAUGUGCUGGCUGUUUGUCUCCACAUUCCUCGCUGGAUCUACAGCGUAACAGACACAAACAAAGAGCGUCUUUCACAGCUUGAACCUAAAACUUGGCUUUCCACACCACCUGAUCAACAGACUGAUGAAAUGUCCCAAAGGGAACCAAGCAGCAUGAUGUGCUCCAUACAG